This 263-nucleotide ribosomal RNA is filed under the name uncultured archaeon. Its description in RNAcentral is "partial 16S ribosomal RNA". It matches the Rfam family "Archaeal small subunit ribosomal RNA", at positions 748 to 1009 of the family's 1478-position model. The record is from RNAcentral.
CAGCCCUAAACGAUGCGCGUUAGGUGUAUCGGUGACCACGAGUCACCGAGGUGCCGAAGGGAAACCGUGAAACGUGCCGCCUGGGAAGUACGGUCGCAAGGCUGAAACUUAAAGGAAUUGGCGGGGGAGCACCACAACGGGUGGGAGCCUGCGGUUUAAUUUGGACUCAACGCCGGGAAGCUCACCGGAUAAGACAGCGGAAUGAUUGCCGGGCUGAAGACCCUGCAUGACCAGCUGAGAGGAGGUGCAUGGCGUAGUCGUGU